Molecule: unclassified non-coding RNA, 202 nt
Filed under: uncultured fungus
Lineage: Eukaryota; Fungi
Description: sequence contains ITS1
Source: RNAcentral
GUAUUAAAUUUUGACCAGUAAAGGCCUUUAUUAGACAUUCUAAUAAACUUGUGUGUGUAAAAAUAACAUAGACUCAGACUGUAACAUCUGGCCUACAAUGAGUUCACAGGUGAGAUGAAAAGGCGGAGUGCACAUGCCCCGAAAGGCCAGCAACAUCCUAAGGAUUUCAAUAAUGAUCCUUCCGCAGGUUCACCUACGGAAA